GACGAACGCUGGCGGCGUGCUUAACACAUGCAAGUCGAACGAAGAGCGCUGGAAGCUUGCUUCUAUCACUCUUAGUGGCGAACGGGUGAGUAACGCGUAAUCAACCUGCCCUUCAAACGGGGACAACAGUUGGUAACAACUGCUAAUACCGCAUACGUCCUAAUCUCGGCAUCGAGGAUAGAUGAAUGGUGGACUCUACCUGUACGCAAUCACUGAAGGAGGGGAUUGCGUCUGAUUAGCUAGAUGGCGGGGUACCGGCCCACCAAGGUGAUGAUCAGUAGCAGGACGGAGACGAUGAGCGGCCACACUGGGACUGUGACACGGCCCAGACUGCUAGGGGAAGCAGCCGUAGGGAAUCGUCCGCAAUGGACGAAAGUCAGACGGAGCAACGCCGCGGGAGUGAGGACGGCCUUCGGGUUGUAAAGCUCUGUUAAUCGGGACGAAAGGCCUUCUAGCGAACAGUUAGAAGGAGUGACGGUACCUAAAGAGAAAGCCACGGCUAACUACGUG
Molecule: ribosomal RNA, 510 nt
Filed under: uncultured bacterium
Lineage: Bacteria
Description: partial 16S ribosomal RNA
Rfam family: Bacterial small subunit ribosomal RNA
Source: RNAcentral